ACAUUCCUGGGAUGUGCGCCAGCCGAGAAGUCCCUGAGCCGAUAAUUACUCCUAUGCUUCUCUUAGUCAUUGUUGUUGAGCAAUUCCGCGAGCCGGAGAGCCUGAUGCAAUGCGAGGGUCGCCCACUUGAACCUGUCGGUUCAAGGCCACGUCGGUAGCGGCAUCCUGGGGCUUUU
RNAcentral lists this non-coding RNA (176 nucleotides) under Porticoccaceae bacterium. Its description in RNAcentral is "6S RNA". It matches the Rfam family "6S / SsrS RNA". Rfam says of the family: E. coli 6S RNA was the first non coding RNA to be sequenced, but its function was unknown until recently. It consists of 184 nucleotides that fold into an extended hairpin structure with a large single-stranded internal bulge. The record is from RNAcentral. Lineage: Bacteria; Pseudomonadati; Pseudomonadota; Gammaproteobacteria; Cellvibrionales; Porticoccaceae.